AGGCUCAUCUCCAUCAAGUCAGUGCAAAAGGAAAGAGGAAAGCUCAUGAACAAGAGGUUUCUCUGGACCAGGAACGAUCCAUUGGCUAGAACUCAGGCUGUGUCCUUAGGAUGAAGAGAAGGCAGGUUUGAUGCUGAGCCAGGCAGUCUUUGCCACACUAGCCCGCGGUUAGUGCUCAUGUCUACUAGCAAUGUUUAUGGGGACCCAACCAUGUCCACGUCUUUACUGGGCUGCUUUCCUGCCACGAAGACAGAGAAGUAGUUGGGACAGACACAGCACGCCCUGACUGCUAAUACUUUGUUUACUGAAACCUCAAACAACCUACUUGCUCCUCAGUCACUGCAAGCAGGAAUGUCUACUGGAGAAGGAGAAAUAAAAGACUCAUCAGGGUCUGCAUCUGAUUCUGUGUAAAUCUGAGAUACAUUUCAAUCAUAGAUAGAUGAACCAACAAAGCAUUGAUCUUCAUCCUACUUUUGAAGAUGCCUGUGUAUAAAUGACUCUGACACAGAGGCCAGUCAUGUCUCCACUUCCCUCUCCACUUGGAUAGCCAAAAUGAAGCAUCUUUUGAAGAAUUUCUGUGGGAAGAGGCCUCACAAGAAAUCACGGGUUAGAAAUAGUCUAGUUUCUCAUUUCUGUGUUAUGGUUUAAAUCUGAGGAGAGUUGAAUUUGCCUUUCAGCCCUAAGAUAAAAAUACAAGAAAUGUGACCCAAACUGUGGGGAACGUAAAUUCCUUCAGUGUUCUCUUGUCCAGGAAAACUUGGGACUCUGAAAUUAAGGAAGAAAGAAGCUAUAAAAUGGAGGAAUUAUCUCCAAACUCUUCUGGAGUAUACUUGGAUGCACUUUUGAAUAUACUUGUAAUUUUUGUUUUUGCAUCUUUAUUUGCCAAU
This is a long non-coding RNA of Bos taurus (domestic cattle), 887 nucleotides long. The record is from Ensembl. NCBI's taxonomy places the organism in Eukaryota, Metazoa, Chordata, Mammalia, Artiodactyla, Bovidae.